This 253-nucleotide ribosomal RNA is filed under the name uncultured bacterium. Its description in RNAcentral is "partial 16S ribosomal RNA". It matches the Rfam family "Bacterial small subunit ribosomal RNA", at positions 524 to 776 of the family's 1533-position model. The record is from RNAcentral.
UACGUAGGUCCCGAGCGUUGUCCGGAAUUACUGGGCGUAAAGGGAGCGCAGGCGGCGCGCCAAGUCUGAUGUGAAACCCCGGGGCUCAACCCCGGGCAUGCAUUGGAAACUGGCGGGCUGGAGUGCCGGAGAGGUAAGCGGAAUUCCUAGUGUAGCGGUGAAAUGCGUAGAUAUUAGGAGGAACACCAGUGGCGAAGGCGGCUUACUGGACGGCAACUGACGCUGAGGCUCGAAAGCGUGGGGAGCAAACAGG